RNAcentral lists this ribosomal RNA (448 nucleotides) under uncultured bacterium. RNAcentral describes it as "bacterial SSU rRNA". It matches the Rfam family "Bacterial small subunit ribosomal RNA", at positions 328 to 794 of the family's 1533-position model. The record is from RNAcentral.
UUGCCAGACUCCUACGGGAGGCAGCAGUAGGGAAUCUUUCACAAUGGGCGAAAGCCUGAUGGAGCAACGCCGCGUGCAGGAUGAAGGCCUUCGGGUUGUAAACUGCUUUUAUAAGCGAGAAAUAUGAUGGUAACUUAUGAAUAAGGAUCGGCUAACUACGUGCCAGCAGCCGCGGUAAUACGGAGGAUGCGAGCGUUAUCCGGAUUUAUUGGGUUUAAAGGGUGCGUAGGCGGGCUGUUAAGUCAGCGGUGAAAGGUCGGGGCUCAACCCCGGCCUGCCGUUGAAACUGGCGGCCUCGAGUGGGCGAGAAGUAUGCGGAAUGCGUGGUGUAGCGGUGAAAUGCAUAGAUAUCACGCAGAACUCCGAUUGCGAAGGCAGCAUACCGGCGCCCAACUGACGCUGAAGCACGAAAGCGUGGGUAUCGAACAGGAUUAGAUACCCUGGUAAA